RNAcentral lists this transfer RNA (87 nucleotides) under Fusobacteriaceae bacterium. RNAcentral describes it as "tRNA-Leu". It matches the Rfam family "tRNA". From Rfam's summary of the family: Transfer RNA (tRNA) molecules are approximately 80 nucleotides in length. Lineage: Bacteria; Fusobacteriati; Fusobacteriota; Fusobacteriia; Fusobacteriales; Fusobacteriaceae. The record is from RNAcentral.
GCCUGAGUGGUGAAAUCGGUAGACGCACGGGACUCAAAAUCCCGCGGUAGCAAUACCAUGGGGGUUCAAGUCCCCCCUUAGGCACCA